RNAcentral lists this ribosomal RNA (2600 nucleotides) under Escherichia coli. RNAcentral describes it as "partial 23S ribosomal RNA". It matches the Rfam family "Bacterial large subunit ribosomal RNA", at positions 354 to 2925 of the family's 2925-position model. Lineage: Bacteria; Pseudomonadati; Pseudomonadota; Gammaproteobacteria; Enterobacterales; Enterobacteriaceae. The record is from RNAcentral.
GCGAUACAGGGUGACAGCCCCGUACACAAAAAUGCACAUAUUGUGAGCUCGAUGAGUAGGGCGGGACACGUGGUAUCCUGUCUGAAUAUGGGGGGACCAUCCUCCAAGGCUAAAUACUCCUGACUGACCGAUAGUGAACCAGUACCGUGAGGGAAAGGCGAAAAGAACCCCGGCGAGGGGAGUGAAAAAGAACCUGAAACCGUGUACGUACAAGCAGUGGGAGCCUCUUAAUGGGGUGACUGCGUACCUUUUGUAUAAUGGGUCAGCGACUUAUAUUCUGUAGCAAGGUUAACCGAAUAGGGGAGCCGAAGGGAAACCGAGUCUUAACUGGGCGUUAAGUUGCAGGGUAUAGACCCGAAACCCGGUGAUCUAGCCAUGGGCAGGUUGAAGGUUGGGUAACACUAACUGGAGGACCGAACCGACUAAUGUUGAAAAAUUAGCGGAUGACUUGUGGCUGGGGGUGAAAGGCCAAUCAAACCGGGAGAUAGCUGGUUCUCCCCGAAAGCUAUUUAGGUAGCGCCUCGUGAAUUCAUCUCCGGGGGUAGAGCACUGUUUCGGCAAGGGGGUCAUCCCGACUUACCAACCCGAUGCAAACUGCGAAUACCGGAGAAUGUUAUCACGGGAGACACACGGCGGGUGCUAACGUCCGUCGUGAAGAGGGAAACAACCCAGACCGCCAGCUAAGGUCCCAAAGUCAUGGUUAAGUGGGAAACGAUGUGGGAAGGCCCAGACAGCCAGGAUGUUGGCUUAGAAGCAGCCAUCAUUUAAAGAAAGCGUAAUAGCUCACUGGUCGAGUCGGCCUGCGCGGAAGAUGUAACGGGGCUAAACCAUGCACCGAAGCUGCGGCAGCGACACUAUGUGUUGUUGGGUAGGGGAGCGUUCUGUAAGCCUGUGAAGGUGGCCUGUGAGGGUUGCUGGAGGUAUCAGAAGUGCGAAUGCUGACAUAAGUAACGAUAAAGCGGGUGAAAAGCCCGCUCGCCGGAAGACCAAGGGUUCCUGUCCAACGUUAAUCGGGGCAGGGUGAGUCGACCCCUAAGGCGAGGCCGAAAGGCGUAGUCGAUGGGAAACAGGUUAAUAUUCCUGUACUUGGUGUUACUGCGAAGGGGGGACGGAGAAGGCUAUGUUGGCCGGGCGACGGUUGUCCCGGUUUAAGCGUGUAGGCUGGUUUUCCAGGCAAAUCCGGAAAACCAAGGCUGAGGCGUGAUGACGAGGCACUACGGUGCUGAAGCGACAAAUGCCCUGCUUCCAGGAAAAGCCUCUAAGCAUCAGGUAACAUCAAAUCGUACCCCAAACCGACACAGGUGGUCAGGUAGAGAAUACCAAGGCGCUUGAGAGAACUCGGGUGAAGGAACUAGGCAAAAUGGUGCCGUAACUUCGGGAGAAGGCACGCUGAUAUGUAGGUGAAGCGACUUGCUCGUGGAGCUGAAAUCAGUCGAAGAUACCAGCUGGCUGCAACUGUUUAUUAAAAACACAGCACUGUGCAAACACGAAAGUGGACGUAUACGGUGUGACGCCUGCCCGGUGCCGGAAGGUUAAUUGAUGGGGUUAGCGGCAACGCGAAGCUCUUGAUCGAAGCCCCGGUAAACGGCGGCCGUAACUAUAACGGUCCUAAGGUAGCGAAAUUCCUUGUCGGGUAAGUUCCGACCUGCACGAAUGGCGUAAUGAUGGCCAGGCUGUCUCCACCCGAGACUCAGUGAAAUUGAACUCGCUGUGAAGAUGCAGUGUACCCGCGGCAAGACGGAAAGACCCCGUGAACCUUUACUAUAGCUUGACACUGAACAUUGAGCCUUGAUGUGUAGGAUAGGUGGGAGGCUUUGAAGUGUGGACGCCAGUCUGCAUGGAGCCGACCUUGAAAUACCACCCUUUAAUGUUUGAUGUUCUAACGUUGGCCCGUAAUCCGGGUUGCGGACAGUGUCUGGUGGGUAGUUUGACUGGGGCGGUCUCCUCCUAAAGAGUAACGGAGGAGCACGAAGGUUGGCUAAUCCUGGUCGGACAUCAGGAGGUUAGUGCAAUGGCAUAAGCCAGCUUGACUGCGAGCGUGACGGCGCGAGCAGGUGCGAAAGCAGGUCAUAGUGAUCCGGUGGUUCUGAAUGGAAGGGCCAUCGCUCAACGGAUAAAAGGUACUCCGGGGAUAACAGGCUGAUACCGCCCAAGAGUUCAUAUCGACGGCGGUGUUUGGCACCUCGAUGUCGGCUCAUCACAUCCUGGGGCUGAAGUAGGUCCCAAGGGUAUGGCUGUUCGCCAUUUAAAGUGGUACGCGAGCUGGGUUUAGAACGUCGUGAGACAGUUCGGUCCCUAUCUGCCGUGGGCGCUGGAGAACUGAGGGGGGCUGCUCCUAGUACGAGAGGACCGGAGUGGACGCAUCACUGGUGUUCGGGUUGUCAUGCCAAUGGCACUGCCCGGUAGCUAAAUGCGGAAGAGAUAAGUGCUGAAAGCAUCUAAGCACGAAACUUGCCCCGAGAUGAGUUCUCCCUGACUCCUUGAGAGUCCUGAAGGAACGUUGAAGACGACGACGUUGAUAGGCCGGGUGUGUAAGCGCAGCGAUGCGUUGAGCUAACCGGUACUAAUGAACCGUGAGGCUUAACCUUACAACGCCGAAG